This 72-nucleotide transfer RNA is filed under the name Heterocephalus glaber (naked mole-rat). It matches the Rfam family "tRNA". From Rfam's summary of the family: Transfer RNA (tRNA) molecules are approximately 80 nucleotides in length. Their secondary structure includes four short double-helical elements and three loops (D, anti-codon, and T loops). Further hydrogen bonds mediate the characteristic L-shaped molecular structure. tRNAs have two regions of fundamental functional importance: the anti-codon, which is responsible for specific mRNA codon recognition, and the 3' end, to which the tRNAs corresponding amino acid is attached (by aminoacyl-tRNA synthetases). tRNAs cope with the degeneracy of the genetic code in two manners: having more than one tRNA (with a specific anti-codon) for a particular amino acid; and 'wobble' base-pairing, i.e. permitting non-standard base-pairing at the 3rd anti-codon position. The record is from Rfam by way of RNAcentral. Lineage: Eukaryota; Metazoa; Chordata; Mammalia; Rodentia; Bathyergidae.
AGGGAUUUAGCUGAGUGGUGCCACCGCCUGCCUUGCAAGCAGGAGGUCCUGAGUUCAAUAGUUCAAUCCCUG